RNAcentral lists this non-coding RNA (28 nucleotides) under Homo sapiens (human). The record is from RNAcentral. Lineage: Eukaryota; Metazoa; Chordata; Mammalia; Primates; Hominidae.
UGUCAACCGCAACCUCAAACCUGAUCGU